AUUGAACGCUGGCGGCAUGCUUUACACAUGCAAGUCGAACGGUAACAGGCCUUCGGGUGCUGACGAGUGGCGAACGGGUGAGUAAUGCAUCGGAACGUGCCCAAUCGUGGGGGAUAACGUAGCGAAAGUUACGCUAAUACCGCAUAAGCCCUGAGGGGGAAAGCAGGGGAUCGCAAGACCUUGCGCGAAUGGAGCGGCCGAUGUCAGAUUAGCUAGUUGGUGGGGUAAAGGCCUACCAAGGCGACGAUCUGUAGCGGGUCUGAGAGGAUGAUCCGCCACACUGGGACUGAGACACGGCCCAGACUCCUACGGGAGGCAGCAGUGGGGAAUUUUGGACAAUGGGCGCAAGCCUGAUCCAGCCAUGCCGCGUGCGGGACGAAGGCCUCGGUGUAACCGCUUCAGCGGAAGAAUACGCCAAGGCUAAUAUACCUUGGUGGAUGACGGUACCGGAAGAAGAAGC
This 460-nucleotide ribosomal RNA is filed under the name uncultured bacterium. RNAcentral's name for it is "bacterial SSU rRNA". It matches the Rfam family "Bacterial small subunit ribosomal RNA", at positions 29 to 491 of the family's 1533-position model. The record is from RNAcentral.